GGUGGCUCAGUGGUAGAGUGUCCUUGGCAUGCCGAACGUCCUAGGUUCGAUCCCGAGCACCUCCA
Molecule: transfer RNA, 65 nt
Filed under: Sphaerodactylus townsendi
Lineage: Eukaryota; Metazoa; Chordata; Lepidosauria; Squamata; Sphaerodactylidae
Description: tRNA-Ala
Source: RNAcentral